AGUAACGGCGAGUGAAGAGGGAAGAGCUCAAAUUUGAAAGCUGGUACCUUCGGUAUCCGCGUUGUAACCUCGAGACACGUUUUCCGUGCGGCGCUAUGGACAAGUUCCUUGGAACAGGACAUCGUAGAGGGUGAAAAUCCCGUACUUGCCAUGGAUGUACCGUGCUUUGCGAUACGUGCUCUAAGAGUCGAGUUGUUUGGGAUUGCAGCUCAAAAUGGGUGGUAGACUCCAUCUAAAGCUAAAUAUCGGGGAGAGACCGAUAGCGAACAAGUACCGUGAGGGAAAGAUGAAAAGCACUUUGGAAAGAGAGUUAAAAGUACGUGAAAUUGUCGAAAGGGAAGCGCUUGAAGUCAGCCAUGCCGCUCAGGACUCAGCCUGGCUUUUGCUUGGUGUAUUUCCUGGGUAGCAAGUCAGCAUUGGUUUGGAUCGUCGGAGAAGCAUAGUCGGAAUGUGGCGCCCU
This 460-nucleotide ribosomal RNA is filed under the name Malassezia furfur. RNAcentral's name for it is "LSU rRNA". It matches the Rfam family "Eukaryotic large subunit ribosomal RNA", at positions 82 to 545 of the family's 3401-position model. Lineage: Eukaryota; Fungi; Basidiomycota; Malasseziomycetes; Malasseziales; Malasseziaceae. The record is from RNAcentral.